AGGUCUCCCAUUCGUGGCUGUUACCAGCGGCUUCCCGCUGGAUCGGCUGGAGCUGUGGUGUUUUGACGGCGUACUGGGUACCGCCACUGCGUGCAAAGGUGGCCUACUUCGCACCUGACUGGCCGUCAGGUCAAGUUUGUCCCUCCAGCUUUUCACCCGGAAAAGAAGACUGUCUUCGUCAUCGGCGACUCACACUUGAGGGG
Molecule: long non-coding RNA, 203 nt
Organism: Nerophis ophidion (straightnose pipefish)
Lineage: Eukaryota; Metazoa; Chordata; Actinopteri; Syngnathiformes; Syngnathidae
Exons: 3
Source: RefSeq, a predicted model, not a curated record